AACGAACGCUGGCGGCAUGCCUAACACAUGCAAGUCGAACGAUGCUUUCGGGCAUAGUGGCGCACGGGUGCGUAACGCGUGGGAAUCUGCCCUUGGGUUCGGAAUAACAGUGAGAAAUUGCUGCUAAUACCGGAUGAUGUCUUCGGACCAAAGAUUUAUCGCCCAGGGAUGAGCCCGCGUAGGAUUAGCUAGUUGGUGGGGUAAUGGCCUACCAAGGCGACGAUCCUUAGCUGGCCUGAGAGGAUGAUCAGCCACACUGGGACUGAGACACGGCCCAGACUCCUACGGGAGGCAGCAGUGGGGAAUAUUGGACAAUGGGCGCAAGCCUGAUCCAGCAAUGCCGCGUGAGUGAUGAAGGCCUUAGGGUUGUAAAGCUCUUUUACCCGGGAUGAUAAUGACAGUACCGGGAGAAUAAGCUCCGGCUAACUCCGUG
RNAcentral lists this ribosomal RNA (433 nucleotides) under uncultured bacterium. Its description in RNAcentral is "partial 16S ribosomal RNA". It matches the Rfam family "Bacterial small subunit ribosomal RNA", at positions 29 to 507 of the family's 1533-position model. The record is from RNAcentral.